UUUCAAUGGAGAGUUUGAUCCUGGCUCAGAGUUAACGCUGGCGGCGUGCCUAACACAUGCAAGUCGAACGGAGCGUACCAGAAUAUCGGGCGCUUAGUGGCAGACGGGUGAGUAACACGUAAACAACCUGCCCUCAAAAGGGGGAUAACCUGACGAAAGUCGGACUAAUACCCCAUAUAAUCAGGUCUCAGCAUUGGGAUUUGAUGAAAGGCCCGCAAGGGUCGAUUGAGGAGGGGUUUGCGGCCUAUCAGCUAGUUGGCGGUGUAACGGACCACCAAGGCAAUG
RNAcentral lists this ribosomal RNA (285 nucleotides) under Elusimicrobia bacterium GWC2_56_31. RNAcentral describes it as "partial 16S ribosomal RNA". It matches the Rfam family "Bacterial small subunit ribosomal RNA", at positions 1 to 278 of the family's 1533-position model. The record is from RNAcentral. Lineage: Bacteria; Pseudomonadati; Elusimicrobiota.